Non-coding RNA from Elaeis guineensis (African oil palm), 881 nucleotides. The record is from RefSeq and is a predicted model, not a curated record. Lineage: Eukaryota; Viridiplantae; Streptophyta; Magnoliopsida; Arecales; Arecaceae.
GGAUAAUAUUUGUAGCCAUUCCGCACUUCUCUUGCCACUUUGUUUCUUCUCCAUGAAGAUUUGCUGGGUGCAAUCGGAAGAGAGCCCCUUGCUUCUUCUUCCUCUUUGGUCUUGUCGUCGUUCUGGUCCUUAGCCAUCAUCGCGGUCCUUUUUCAGUUGCUUCCAUCGUCUGAAGGCAGAUUUGAGGGUGGGAGCCAUCUGAGUGGUCAGGACUCUUCUUCCCGAUUGUCCAUCGAGGUGGGCUCUUCUUUCUGCUGUGGUGACUCCUCGGCUUGGGGAUUCGAGAGUCUAAUCCUCGAGCAUUUCUUGGGUCUAAAAAAUAAGGAAUCGGUUUGGACCAAUCCGACCUAACACGCCUUCGAAGUCAGUAAUGUAUUCCAAGUUAGCACCAUUUGUUGGCUCCAGGUCUGGAAGACCGGGUGAUCCUUAGCCAGAAGGGAAGCAAGAGAUAUUGGAAAGUAGGAGCGAGGAAGAAGACAUGGAGAAAUGUUUCAGAGAUGAAUGCUCUGUAACUGAUAAUGUCAUAAAGGAACAAGGUAGCUGUUAGCUUCUUCCGUCAGAUAAUUGUCGCCAUAUUAGUGUUAGUAAUGUCAGUGGAUUUUUUUUUUAUUUCUAGGAUUUGUAUAUUUAGAGAUCAAAACUAUCAUUUAAAUUAUGAUUUUCAGAAAAAGAGUACUUAUAGUAUUACAUGAACACCAGGUCUUCGGCCGCUAGCCCAGAAGCUUAUAGGUAGUUUAUUAGUUCACCUGCUUACCAUCUUCAUGCAUUUUUUUAUUGAUCUAUGUAUGAAAUUAGUAGAAAUGAAGAAUUCCUUUGACAUCAUUGCAUGUAGAUGCGGCUAUGACAUGGUUAGAACGGAUUGUUGAAGAGAAAGGGGGAAC